Molecule: ribosomal RNA, 254 nt
Filed under: uncultured bacterium
Lineage: Bacteria
Description: partial 16S ribosomal RNA
Rfam family: Bacterial small subunit ribosomal RNA
Source: RNAcentral
UACGUAGGGGCCUAGCGUUGUCCGGAUUUAUUGGGCGUAAAGAGCUCGUAGGCGGUUCGGUAAGUCAGGUGUGAAAUCUCCACGCUCAACGUGGAGGCGCCACCUGAAACUGCCGUGACUCGAGUCCGGUAGGGGAGACUGGAAUUCCUGGUGUAGCGGUGAAAUGCGCAGAUAUCAGGAGGAACACCGAUGGCGAAGGCAGGUCUCUGGGCAUUAACUGACGCUGAGGAGCGAAAGCAUGGGGAGCGAACAGG